RNAcentral lists this ribosomal RNA (498 nucleotides) under uncultured bacterium. Its description in RNAcentral is "partial 16S ribosomal RNA". It matches the Rfam family "Bacterial small subunit ribosomal RNA", at positions 27 to 507 of the family's 1533-position model. The record is from RNAcentral.
GGAUGAACGCUGGCGGCGUGCCUAAGACAUGCAAGUCGAGCGAACAGACGAGGAGCUUGCUCCUCUGACGUUAGCGGCGGACGGGUGAGUAACACGUGGAUAACCUACCUAUAAGACUGGGAUAACUUCGGGAAACCGGAGCUAAUACCGGAUAAUAUAUUGAACCGCAUGGUUCAAUAGUGAAAGACGGUUUUGCUGUCACUUAUAGAUGGAUCCGCGCCGCAUUAGCUAGUUGGUAAGGUAACGGCUUACUAAGGCAACGAUGCGUAGCCGACCUGAGAGGGUGAUCGGCCACACUGGAACUGAGACACGGUCCAGACUCCUACGGGAGGCAGCAGUAGGGAAUCUUCCGCAAUGGGCGAAAGCCUGACGGAGCAACGCCGCGUGAGUGAUGAAGGUCUUCGGAUCGUAAAACUCUGUUAUUAGGGAAGAACAAAUGUGUAAGUAACUAUGCACGUCUUGACGGUACCUAAUCAGAAAGCCACGGCUAACUACGUG